Molecule: ribosomal RNA, 275 nt
Filed under: uncultured bacterium
Lineage: Bacteria
Description: partial 16S ribosomal RNA
Rfam family: Bacterial small subunit ribosomal RNA
Source: RNAcentral
UGUGUCCUACGGGGCGCAGCAGUGAGGAAUAUUGGUCAAUGGUCGGGAGACUGAACCAGCCAAGCCGCGUGAGGGAUGAAGGUACAGAGUAUCGUAAACCUCUUUUGUCAGGGAACAAAGGCGGGGACGCGUCCCCGGAUGAGUGUACCUGAAGAAAAAGCAUCGGCUAACUCCGUGCCAGCAGCCGCGGUAAUACGGAGGAUGCGAGCGUUAUCCGGAUUUAUUGGGUUUAAAGGGUGCGCAGGCGGUCUUGUAAGUCAGCGGUCAAAGCCCGG